GACCGCGUAGCUCAGUUGGUAGAGCAUUGGGCUAGUAUUCGAAAGGUCGUAGGUUCGAUUCCCACCGUGGCCA
This 73-nucleotide transfer RNA is filed under the name Paramuricea clavata. It matches the Rfam family "tRNA". Rfam says of the family: Transfer RNA (tRNA) molecules are approximately 80 nucleotides in length. Their secondary structure includes four short double-helical elements and three loops (D, anti-codon, and T loops). Lineage: Eukaryota; Metazoa; Cnidaria; Anthozoa; Malacalcyonacea; Plexauridae. The record is from Rfam by way of RNAcentral.